This 154-nucleotide small nuclear RNA is filed under the name Anopheles culicifacies. RNAcentral's name for it is "U4 spliceosomal RNA". The stretch from base 1 to 134 matches the Rfam family "U4 spliceosomal RNA". From Rfam's summary of the family: U4 small nuclear RNA (U4 snRNA) is a component of the major U2-dependent spliceosome. The structure of U4 snRNA from yeast and human has been reported. Lineage: Eukaryota; Metazoa; Arthropoda; Insecta; Diptera; Culicidae. The record is from RNAcentral.
AGCAUUACGCAGGGGUGAUAUCGUAACCAAUGAGGUACAACUAUGGUGCAAUUAUUGCUAGUUGAAAACUAAACACAGUUCAUGUUCUCUGUAUUUUCAUAUGCAAAAAAAAACUCUUAAAUUUCCAUAUCUAACUACUCACCUCUACCAUGGA